RNAcentral lists this ribosomal RNA (501 nucleotides) under uncultured bacterium. RNAcentral's name for it is "partial 16S ribosomal RNA". It matches the Rfam family "Bacterial small subunit ribosomal RNA", at positions 30 to 523 of the family's 1533-position model. The record is from RNAcentral.
AUUGAACGCUGGCGGCAGGCUUAACACAUGCAAGUCGAGCGGGGGAAGGUAGCUUGCUACCGGACCUAGCGGCGGACGGGUGAGUAAUGCUUAGGAAUCUGCCUAUUAGUGGGGGACAACAUCUCGAAAGGGAUGCUAAUACCGCAUACGUCCUACGGGAGAAAGCAGGGGAUCUACGGACCUUGCGCUAAUAGAUGAGCCUAAGUCGGAUUAGCUAGUUGGUGGGGUAAAGGCCUACCAAGGCGACGAUCUGUAGCGGGUCUGAGAGGGUGAUCCGCCACACUGGGACUGAGACACGGCCCAGACUCCUACGGGAGGCAGCAGUGGGGAAUAUUGGACAAUGGGGGGAACCCUGAUCCAGCCAUGCCGCGUGUGUGAAGAAGGCCUUAUGGUUGUAAAGCACUUUAAGCGAGGAGGAGGCUACUUUAGUUAAUACCUAGAGAUAGUGGACGUUACUCGCAGAAUAAGCACCGGCUAACUCUGUGCCAGCAGCCGCAGUAA